AGGUACAGCGGGUACUUGGGUGUACAGCGGCACCGCGGGCUACCCCGGGGGUGCGGGUGGUCAACCCCGCGCCCAGUCUGCGCGGGAAAUCGCGAGGGCCAGCCUUGGCCUGGACCCCAGAGCGGUAAUAAGUGAGCAGGACCAGAAAGGAUGUAAUCUGAGCCGGUAAGGGACGCUGGAGGUCUUUAGGUGAGAGCCCCGGGACCGGAGGCAGAGUCCCCGCCCCCGCCCUUUAGCUCUCAGGCUUGGGGCGCUCCCGGCUAGUGACAAGGGAAUCGUUGGGAAAUCACCCCUUCUAACCCAAAGGACUUACUUUGGGGUUUCCCCUUGCACCCUGGCCUUCCCCUAACCCUUCCUGCAGCACCUGCUGCCCCGGAGUCUCAAUGUGUUUGGACUUUGAGGGGGGCCAGGUCCAGGGUGUGUCUGCUCACCUGGAGGGGGCGGGUUUUAGGGGUUCUGCUAAGGGAACCCCUUGCCUUCUCCCUGAGUUGAGU
Molecule: long non-coding RNA, 494 nt
Filed under: Marmota monax (woodchuck)
Lineage: Eukaryota; Metazoa; Chordata; Mammalia; Rodentia; Sciuridae
Source: RNAcentral